AUUGAACGCUGGCGGCAUGCCUUACACAUGCAAGUCGAACGGCAGCGGACCUUCGGGUGCCGGCGAGUGGCGAACGGGUGAGUAAUAUAUCGGAACGUACCUUUCAGUGGGGGAGUAACGUAGCGAAAGUUAACGCUAAUACCGCAUAUUCUGUGAGCAGGAAAGCAGGGGAGUCGCAAGACCUUGCGCUGAUUGAGCGGCCGAUAUCAGAUUAGCUAGUUGGUGAGGUAAAGGGACUCACCAAGGCGACGAUCUGUAGCGGGUCGUGAGAGGAUGAUCCGCCACACUGGAACUGAGACACGGUCCAGACUCCUACGGGAGGCAGCAGUGGGGAAGUUUUGGACAAUGGGCGGCAAGCCUGAUCCAGCCAUGCCGCGUGAGUGAAGAAGGCCUCGGUUGUAACGAC
Molecule: ribosomal RNA, 406 nt
Filed under: uncultured bacterium
Lineage: Bacteria
Description: bacterial SSU rRNA
Rfam family: Bacterial small subunit ribosomal RNA
Source: RNAcentral